RNAcentral lists this ribosomal RNA (415 nucleotides) under Enterococcus faecalis. RNAcentral's name for it is "partial 23S ribosomal RNA". It matches the Rfam family "Bacterial large subunit ribosomal RNA", at positions 312 to 729 of the family's 2925-position model. The record is from RNAcentral. Lineage: Bacteria; Bacillati; Bacillota; Bacilli; Lactobacillales; Enterococcaceae.
UAUGGUAGUCUGUUAGUAUAGUUGAAGGAUUUGGAAAAUUCCGCUAAAGAGGGUGAAAGCCCCGUAGACGAAAUGCUAAUAACACCUAGGAGGAUCCUGAGUACGGCGGAACACGAGAAAUUCCGUCGGAAUCCGCGGGGACCAUCCCGCAAGGCUAAAUACUCCCUAGUGACCGAUAGUGAACCAGUACCGUGAGGGAAAGGUGAAAAGCACCCCGGAAGGGGAGUGAAAUAGAUCCUGAAACCGUGUGCCUACAACAAGUCAAAGCUCGUUAAUGAGUGAUGGCGUGCCUUUUGUAGAAUGAACCGGCGAGUUACGAUUGCAUGCGAGGUUAAGUCGAAGAGACGGAGCCGCAGCGAAAGCGAGUCUGAAUAGGGCGAAUGAGUAUGUAGUCGUAGACCCGAAACCAUGUGAU